This 1116-nucleotide unclassified non-coding RNA is filed under the name Hevea brasiliensis (rubber tree). Lineage: Eukaryota; Viridiplantae; Streptophyta; Magnoliopsida; Malpighiales; Euphorbiaceae. The record is from RNAcentral.
CAUCCUUUCUCUUUGCAUUGGCUUCUCGUACCUUGUCUUUCUCUGCUUCCUAGUAACUCUCUCUCUCUAAUGGCGGAGACACAAUCAAAGCGCCUCAGAGAUGACGCUCAAAUAGAAGAUGUCGUUGUUGAUGAAAUUAAUAAGCGCCACAAGUCAUAUAACCACAUACUCUCUCUUCUUGAUGAAGAAGAAGAUGAGCCACCCCAAGAUAUCUCUUCUUUCAUCACUACCCUUCAGCAAGAACUCUCCCCUGCUUCUACCUUUGACGACCCCUUUUCUUGUUCAACCACAGCAAUUGACCAAGAAAACCCUACUACCGCCGUAACAACCACCGUAGAAGGCUACCUAUCUUCAUCUUCGUCUUCUUCUACCUUCUUGAAGGAGGGUGAGGAAGAUGAUAAGGAAAGAGUUAUAAGGCACCUUCUUGAAGCAUCUGAUGACGAGCUUGGGAUUCCAAACACCCAAGCUGUUAGUGGUGUUGGAGAUGGCUAUGCAGAAGAUCUUGUUAAUAGUGGAAAUGGGUUCAAUGGGUUAGAUGGAUUCUCCCUCUGCGAUGGCUUGUGGGAGCUCGAAGACGCUAACGCUAACUACUAUGCCUUGUUGCAAUCUGAACUCUUCCUGUAGCUAGCCGGAGGACUAUGGGGGGCGUAGAAGGAAAAACAAAAGAAAUAGGAAGGGUUCAAAAGAGUAAAACAGAAAGUGGGUGGGAGAAAAUAUAAAAUGGAAACUAUUUCGGGGUUUUCAUUUUUGCCCUCUUUUUUUUUACCCUUUUUGUGAAAAUUAUUUAGUUCCUCCUUGGCCCAUCUCUAAUUUCUAAUUUAAAAAGAUUAAAAUGUGGAAAACAAAAAUAUUAAUCACUACAUAUUCUUUGUUUUUUUAAUUUUUUUUCUUAUUUUUUUCUCCUUAUUGUUAUUGAUGUGGACAAGAAGUUUAUCUUAGCUCAAGGGCUACUCCAAAAUGGAGAACAGGAUCCCUUCCCAUAAGUACGGGAAAAUAUUAACCUCAUCUGGUGAAAGUAAUUGGAUUUUUUUUGGUUUAAAUUUAAUUUAUUAUGAAUUAAAUUUUUUUAAAAUAUCUGAUAAAAAAUAAUAUUUAUUAUUUAAUUUUUAAAAAAAU